Molecule: ribosomal RNA, 328 nt
Filed under: uncultured eukaryote
Lineage: Eukaryota
Description: partial 18S ribosomal RNA
Rfam family: Eukaryotic small subunit ribosomal RNA
Source: RNAcentral
CCCUUAGAUGUCCGGGGCUGCACGCGCGCUACACUGAAGGAAUCAGCGUGCUAAAACCAUUGUCGAAAGGCAUUGGUAAACCCAUUAAAAUCCUACGUGAUUGGGAUCGGGAAUUGCAAUUAUUUCCCUUGAACGAGGAAUUCCCAGUAAGUGUGGGUCAUAAGCUCGCGCUGAUUACGUCCCUGCCCUUUGUACACACCGCCCGUCGCUGCCCGGGACUGAGCCGUUUCGAGAAAAGCGGGGACUGCUGCUGUCGGGGCUUUCGGGCCUUGGCUUCGGUGGAAACCGCUUUAAUCGCAGUGGCUUGAACCGGGCAAAAGUCGUAACA